GGCGGACGGGUGAGUAACACGUGGGCAACCUGCCUGUAAGACUGGGAUAACUUCGGGAAACCGGAGCUAAUACCGGAUAAUCCUUUUCCUCUCAUGAGGAAAAGCUGAAAGAUGGCUUCGGCUAUCACUUACAGAUGGGCCCGCGGCGCAUUAGCUAGUUGGUGAGGUAACGGCUCACCAAGGCGACGAUGCGUAGCCGACCUGAGAGGGUGAUCGGCCACACUGGGACUGAGACACGGCCCAGACUCCUACGGGAGGCAGCAGUAGGGAAUCUUCCGCAAUGGACGAAAGUCUGACGGAGCAACGCCGCGUGAGUGAUGAAGGUUUUCGGAUCGUAAAACUCUGUUGUUAGGGAAGAACAAGUACCGUUCGAAUAGGGCGGUACCUUGACGGUACCUAACCAGAAAGCCACGGCUAACUACGUGCCACCAGCCGCGGUAAUACGUAGGUGGCAAGCGUUGUCCGGAAUUAUUGGGCGUAAAGCGCGCGCAGGCGGUCUUUUAAGUCUGAUGUGAAAGCCCCCGGCUCAACCGGGGAGGGUCAUUGGAAACUGGGAGACUUGAGUGCAGAAAAGGAGAGUGGAAUUCCACGUGUAGCGGUGAAAUGCGUAGAGAUGUGGAGGAACACCAGUGGCGAAGGCGACUCUCUGGUCUGUAACUGACGCUGAGGCGCGAAAGCGUGGGGAGCGAACAGGAUUAAAUACCCUGGUAGUCCACGCCGUAAACGAUGAGUGCUAAUUGUUAAAGGGUUUCCGCCCUUUAUUGCUGCAGCAAACGCAUUAAGCACUCCGCC
Molecule: ribosomal RNA, 792 nt
Filed under: Lysinibacillus sphaericus
Lineage: Bacteria; Bacillati; Bacillota; Bacilli; Caryophanales; Bacillaceae
Description: bacterial SSU rRNA
Rfam family: Bacterial small subunit ribosomal RNA
Source: RNAcentral